RNAcentral lists this ribosomal RNA (253 nucleotides) under uncultured bacterium. RNAcentral describes it as "partial 16S ribosomal RNA". It matches the Rfam family "Bacterial small subunit ribosomal RNA", at positions 524 to 776 of the family's 1533-position model. The record is from RNAcentral.
UACGUAGGGUGCAAGCGUCAAUCGGAAUUACUGGGCGUAAAGCGUGCGCAGGCGGUUUUGUAAGUCUGACGUGAAAUCCCCGGGCUCAACCUGGGAAUUGCGUUGGAGACUGCAAGGCUAGAAUCUGGCAGAGGGGGGUAGAAUUCCACGUGUAGCAGGGAAAUGCGUAGAGAUGUGGAGGAACACCGAUGGCGAAGGCAGCCCCCUGGGUCAAGAUUGACGCUCAUGCACGAAAGCGUGGGGAGCAAACAGG